RNAcentral lists this ribosomal RNA (279 nucleotides) under uncultured bacterium. RNAcentral describes it as "partial 16S ribosomal RNA". It matches the Rfam family "Bacterial small subunit ribosomal RNA", at positions 506 to 784 of the family's 1533-position model. The record is from RNAcentral.
UGCCAGCAGCCGCGGUAAUACGGAGGGUGCAAGCGUUGUUCGGAAUCACUGGGCGUAAAGCGCGUGUAGGCGGCCAUGCAAGUCGGGUGUGAAAUCCCGGGGCUCAACCCCGGAACUGCACCCGAAACUGCAUGGCUCGAGUCCCGGAGGGGGUGGCGGAAUUUCCGGUGUAGAGGUGUAAUGCAUAGAUAUGUCAUAGAACACCAAUUGCGAAGGCAGCUAGCUAGGCUUUAAUUGACGCUGAGGCACGAAAGCGUGGGGAGCGAACAGGAUUAGAUA